This 275-nucleotide ribosomal RNA is filed under the name uncultured Curvibacter sp. Its description in RNAcentral is "partial 16S ribosomal RNA". It matches the Rfam family "Bacterial small subunit ribosomal RNA", at positions 8 to 285 of the family's 1533-position model. Lineage: Bacteria; Pseudomonadati; Pseudomonadota; Betaproteobacteria; Burkholderiales; Comamonadaceae. The record is from RNAcentral.
AGAGUUUGAUCAUGGCUCAGAUUGAACGCUGGCGGCAUGCCUUACACAUGCAAGUCGAACGGCAGCACGGGAGCAAUCCUGGUGGCGAGUGGCGAACGGGUGAGUAAAGUAUCGGAACGUGCCCAGUCGUGGGGGAUAACGUAGCGAAAGUUACGCUAAUACCGCAUACGAUCUAUGGAUGAAAGCGGGGGAUCGCAAGACCUCGCGCGAUUGGAGCGGCCGAUAUCAGAUUAGGUAGUUGGUGGGGUAAAGGCUCACCAAGCCGACGAUCUGUA